GGUUAAGCUAAUAAGAGCACACGGAGGAUGCCUAGGCACCAGGAGCCGAAGAAGGACGUGGCGAACGACGAAAUGCCUCGGGGAGCCGUAAGCAGGCUUUGAUCCGGGGAUGUCCGAAUGGGGGAACCCGCGUGAGGUAAUACUCACGUACCACACAGUGAAUACAUAGCUGUGUAGGAGGCAGACGAGGGGAACUGAAACAUCUAAGUACCCUCAGGAAAAGAAAACAAAAGUGAUUCCGUCAGUAGCGGCGAGCGAAAGCGGAACAGCCCAAACCAAGGGGCUUGCCCCUUGGGGUUGUAGGACGUCAAUGUGAGUGCAGGUUGGUAGGCGAACAGGUCUGGAAAGGCCGGCCAAAGUGGGUAACAGCCCCGUAACCGAAAGCAACCGAGACUCUAGACGGAUCCUGAGUACGGCGGGACACGUGAAACCCCGUCGGAAUCCGGCAGGACCAUCUGCCAAGGCUAAAUACUCCCUGGUGACCGAUAGUGAAGCAGUACCGUGAGGGAAAGGUGAAAAGAACCGCGGGAGCGGAGUGAAAAAGAACCUGAAACCGUGUGCUUACAAGAAGUCAGAGCUCGUUAAUGAGUGAUGGCGUGCCUUUUGUAGAAUGAACCGGCGAGUUACGUUUACGCGCAAGGUUAAGGUGAGAAGCCGGAGCCGCAGCGAAAGCGAGUCUGAAUAGGGCGAAUAAGUACGUAGACGUAGACCCGAAACCGUGUGAUCUACCCCUGUCCAGGGUGAAGGUGCGGUAACACGCACUGGAGGCCCGAACCCACGAAUGUUGAAAAAUUCGGGGAUGAGGUGGGGGUAGCGGAGAAAUUCCAAUCGAACUCGGAGAUAGCUGGUUCUCCCCGAAAUAGCUUUAGGGCUAGCCUCGGGUGAUGAGUCGCGGAGGUAAAGCACUGAUUGGGUGCGGGGCCCGCCAAGGGUUACCAAGUCCAGUCAAACUCUGAAUGCCGCAGACUUUAACCCGGGAGUCAGACAGUGAGUGCUAAGAUCCAUUGUCAAGAGGGAAACAGCCCAGAUCAUCAGCUAAGGUCCCCAAGUGUGUGUUAAGUGGGAAAGGAUGUGGAGUUGCAAAGACAACCAGGAUGUUGGCUUAGAAGCAGCCACCAUUGAAAGAGUGCGUAAUAGCUCACUGGUCGAGUGACUCUGCGCCGAAAAUGUAACGGGGCUAAACACACCACCGAAGCUAUGAGUCCAAUUAUGGGCAGUAGGGGAGCGUUGUAACAGCGGUGAAGGUUGAUCGUGAGGACAGCUGGAGCGGUUACAAGUGAGAAUGCCGGUAUGAGUAACGAAAAGACAAGUGAGAAUCUUGUCCGCCGUAAGCCUAAGGGUUCCUGAGGAAGGUUCGUCCGCUCAGGGUAAGUCGGGACCUAAGGCGAGGCCGAAAGGCGUAGUCGAAGGACAACAGGUUGAAAUUCCUGUACCACCGUGAACCGUUAUGAGCAAUGGGGUGACGCAGAAGGAUAGUGACGCGGACUGAUGGAUGUCCGUCCAAGCAGCGAGGCUGGUUAGUAGGCAAAUCCGCUAACCGAAAGGCUGGGCUGUGAUGGGGAGCGAAAUUUAAGUAGCGAAGGUCAUGAGUUCAAGCUGCCAAGAAAAGCCUCUAGCCAGGGAGAAGGUGCCCGUACCGCAAACCGACACAGGUAGGCGAGCAGAGCAUGCUAAGGCGCUCGGAAGAACUCUCGUUAAGGAACUCGGCAAAAUGACCCCGUAACUUCGGGAGAAGGGGUGCCUCGGUAGGGUGAAUAGCCCGAGGGGGCCGCAGUGAAAAGGCCCAAGCGACUGUUUAGCAAAAACACAGGUCUGUGCGAAGCCGCAAGGCGAAGUAUACGGGCUGACGCCUGCCCGGUGCUGGAAGGUUAAGGGGAGCGGUUAGGGGUUAAACCCGAAGCUGUGAACCGAAGCCCCAGUAAACGGCGGCCGUAACUAUAACGGUCCUAAGGUAGCGAAAUUCCUUGUCAGGUAAAUUCUGACCCGCACGAAUGGCGUAACGACUUGGGCGCUGUCUCGACGAGAGAUCCGGUGAAAUUUUAAUACCUGUGAAGAUGCAGGUUACCCGCGACAAGACGGAAAGACCCCAUGGAGCUUUACUGCAGCUUGAUAUUGGACUUUGGUACGAUCUGUACAGGAUAGGUGGGAGCCUAGGAAGCCGGAGCGCCAGCUUCGGUGGAGGCGCCGUUGGGAUACCACCCUGAUCGUAUCGGAGUUCUAACCUGGCACCAUUAGCUGGUGUGGGGACAGUGUCAGGUAGGCAGUUUGACUGGGGCGGUCGCCUCCUAAAGAGUAACGGAGGCGCCCCAAGGUUCCCUCAGAAUGGUUGGAAAUCAUUCGAAGAGUGCAAAGGCAUAAGGGAGCUUGACUGCGAGACAAACAGGUCGAGCAGGGACGAAAGUCGGGCUUAGUGAUCCGGUGGUACCGAAUGGAAGGGCCAUCGCUCAACGGAUAAAAGCUACCCUGGGGAUAACAGGCUUAUCUCCCCCAAGAGUCCACAUCGACGGGGAGGUUUGGCACCUCGAUGUCGGCUCAUCGCAUCCUGGGGCUGAAGUAGGUCCCAAGGGUUGGGCUGUUCGCCCAUUAAAGCGGUACGCGAGCUGGGUUCAGAACGUCGUGAGACAGUUCGGUCCCUAUCUGUCGCGGGCGUAGGAAAUUUGAGAGGAGCUGUCCUUAGUACGAGAGGACCGGGAUGGACGUACCGCUGGUGUACCAGUUGUCUCGCCAGAGGCACGGCUGGAUAGCCAAGUACGGAAGGGAUAAGCGCUGAAAGCAUCUAAGCGUGAAGCCCCCCUCAAGAUGAGAUUUCCCAGUAUGUAAGACCCCUUGUAGACGACGAGGUAGAUAGGUUCGGGGUGGAAGCGCGGCAACGUGUGGAGCUGACGAAUACUAAUCGGUCGAGGGCUUAUCCAA
Molecule: ribosomal RNA, 2913 nt
Filed under: Paenibacillus sp. GD4
Lineage: Bacteria; Bacillati; Bacillota; Bacilli; Caryophanales; Paenibacillaceae
Description: 23S ribosomal RNA
Rfam family: Bacterial large subunit ribosomal RNA
Source: RNAcentral